MicroRNA precursor from Medicago truncatula (barrel medic), 113 nucleotides. It matches the Rfam family "MIR2593 microRNA precursor family". Lineage: Eukaryota; Viridiplantae; Streptophyta; Magnoliopsida; Fabales; Fabaceae. The record is from Rfam.
AUAUAAGCAAAAUUGACUUUUUAUGUUCAUUCAUUUAAUGAUGUAUGUGGUCCAUAUUAUAAACCACAUACAUCAUUAAAUGAAUGAAUCUAAAAAGUCAAUUUUGCUUAUAU